Molecule: ribosomal RNA, 793 nt
Filed under: uncultured bacterium
Lineage: Bacteria
Description: bacterial SSU rRNA
Rfam family: Bacterial small subunit ribosomal RNA
Source: RNAcentral
AGAGUUUGAUCAUGGCUCAGAUUGAACGCUGGCGGCAGGCCUAACACAUGCAAGUCGAGCGGUAGAGAGAAGCUUGCUUCUCUUGAGAGCGGCGGACGGGUGAGUAAUGCCUAGGAAUCUGCCUGGUAGUGGGGGAUAACGUCCGGAAACGGACGCUAAUACCGCAUACGUCCUACGGGAGAAAGCAGGGGACCUUCGGGCCUUGCGCUAUCAGAUGAGCCUAGGUCGGAUUAGCUAGUUGGUGGGGUAAUGGCUCACCAAGGCGACGAUCCGUAACUGGUCUGAGAGGAUGAUCAGUCACACUGGAACUGAGACACGGUCCAGACUCCUACGGGAGGCAGCAGUGGGGAAUAUUGGACAAUGGGCGAAAGCCUGAUCCAGCCAUGCCGCGUGUGUGAAGAAGGUCUUCGGAUUGUAAGGCACUUUAAGCGAGGAGGAAGGUUCGUUACUUAAUACGUAACGGAAUUGACGUUACUCGCAGAAUAAGCACCGGCUAACUCUGUGCCAGCAGCCGCGGUAAUACAGAGGGUGCAAGCGUUAAUCGGAAUUACUGGGCGUAAAGCGCGCGUAGGCGGUUGCGUAAGUUGGAGGUGAAAUCCCCGGGCUCAACCUGGGCAUUGCCUUCAAAACUGCGCAGCUAGAGUAUUGGAGAGGAAGGUAGAAUUCCAGGUGUAGCGGUGAAAUGCGUAGAGAUCUGGAGGAAUACCGAUGGCGAAGGCAGCCUUCUGGCCAAAUACUGACGCUGAGGUGCGAAAGCAUGGGGAGCAAACAGGAUUAGAUACCCUGGUAGUCC